Molecule: ribosomal RNA, 714 nt
Filed under: uncultured Actinomycetales bacterium
Lineage: Bacteria; Bacillati; Actinomycetota; Actinomycetes; Actinomycetales
Description: bacterial SSU rRNA
Rfam family: Bacterial small subunit ribosomal RNA
Source: RNAcentral
AACGGAAAGGCUCCAGCUUGCUGGAGUACUCGAGUGGCGAACGGGUGAGUAACACGUGGGUAAUCUGCCCUGCACUCUGGGAUAAGCCUGGGAAACUGGGUCUAAUACUGGAUAUGACCUUUCUCCUUAUGGGGUUUGGUGGAAAGUUUUUCGGUGUAGGAUGAGCCCGCGGCCUAUCAGCUUGUUGGUGGGGUGAUGGCCUACCAAGGCGACGACGGGUAGCCGGCCUGAGAGGGUGAUCGGCCACAUUGGGACUGAGAUACGGCCCAGACUCCUACGGGAGGCAGCAGUGGGGAAUAUUGCACAAUGGGCGGAAGCCUGAUGCAGCGACGCCGCGUGAGGGAUGACGGCCUUCGGGUUGUAAACCUCUUUCAGCAGGGACGAAGCGUAAGUGACGGUACCUGCAGAAGAAGCACCGGCUAACUAUGUGCCAGCAGCCGCGGUAAUACGUAGGGUGCGAGCGUUGUCCGGAAUUACUGGGCGUAAAGAGCUCGUAGGCGGUUUGUCACGUCGUCUGUGAAAUCCUAGGGCUUAACCCUGGACGUGCAGGCGAUACGGGCUGACUCGAGUACUACAGGGGAGACUGGAAUUUCUGGUGUAGCGGUGGAAUGCACAGAUAUCAGGAAGAACACCGAUGGCGAAGGCAGGUCUCUGGGUAGUAACUGACGCUGGGGAGCGAAAGCAUGGGUAGCGAACAGGAUUAGAUACCCUGGU